Arabidopsis thaliana (thale cress) is the source of this 943-nucleotide non-coding RNA. The record is from RefSeq. Lineage: Eukaryota; Viridiplantae; Streptophyta; Magnoliopsida; Brassicales; Brassicaceae.
CUCUCUGUAUAAACUUUGCGUUUUUCUUUCUUCCGUUACCUCCAUAUCAGUUUUUAGGGUUUAGUGUUACAGUGGCGGAGAUAUCUUAGUUUGUGUUGGUGUUUUCUUGUAUGAGGUCAUCUAACAAAGCAAGAUAGGUUAUAAUUUGUACCAAUUUUGUGUCGGAAGAUGACAAGAUUAGUUUUAUAGGCCUCCAUGGGAAUUUCUUCAUGGAACUCUUCUCUUCCAUGGAGUUGCUCUGAGGAGGUUACACUUCCAUAGUCGUAUGUAUUUAUCUAUGUCCGAAUCAAGCUCGUUGAUCAAAUCAUAACCUUUUGUGUUAGUUUUGUUUUUUUAACACUCUGAGCUACUGUUUUCUGGUGUCUGAUGAGAUUCGUCAUCCUUAAAGCAAAUAGGUUAUAACCUCUGUGCCAAAUUUGUGUCGGAAGAUGACAAGAUUGAUUUUGCCUCUCCAUGACAAUUUUGCUUCAUGGAAAUCUUCUCUUCCAUGGAGUAGAUCUAUGGAGAGGCACAUCAUUGUGCAAUUGGUAAAUUCGUCUGAUCGUUUUUUUAUAUGUGUUUCUGCUUUUAUUAUCGGGAGAACAUUAUUACAGCAAGAUUUUGUGUCUGAAACAAGAGAAACGAUUGUCCAUUGAUACUUAUAGCAGUAACAAGCGAAAGAGUCUGUAAAUGAUACAGAGCAUUCUUUGAUAUGAUUAUCCAAAGAGGAUCUUAUUGAUGAAGAGUCUGUAAAUUCUCCUUUUCCUUAUUUAUAAAAGUCCGUCCUUAUUACAAAGCCGUAGAAUGAAUUUGCAAUGUUGAAAUAUGGAUGAAAUUUUGAAACUUGAUUCCUGGCGAUAAUUUGUGCUUUAACUGAAGAUUAGGUAAUUUUCAGCAUUAAGAUAGUUUGAGAAUUCAUGGCUACGAUGAUUGAACCAACUGGCUUAUGUUUUACCUAUCUGCG